UUUUAAUUAGAUCAUUAAUUUUAUAUUAUUAAAAUAGUACAAUAUCAUUCGAAAUUUACCAUGUAAAAGUAAUUUCGUGCCCAUUCGAAAUUUACCAUCCACCCAUGCCGGAGUCACUGGUUAAGUAAAAAAGAAAAGAAAUCAAUAAAUAAUAAUCAAAGAAGAAUAAAUAAUAAAAGGAAAGCCUUUUUCUGUUCUCUUAUUUUCUCACUUUUUCAAGUGUUUUUCUUCUUCUUCUUCUCUUUUCCACUUUAUACCAAGAACCCAAAUCACUUCAGCUCAAAGGGAAAACCAAACAAUA
Molecule: long non-coding RNA, 301 nt
Filed under: Ricinus communis (castor bean)
Lineage: Eukaryota; Viridiplantae; Streptophyta; Magnoliopsida; Malpighiales; Euphorbiaceae
Description: long non-coding RNA (RCOM_LNC000820)
Source: RNAcentral